AUCAGCGCUUACUCAUGCCGACCAAUCAGGAGAAUGGCGCGAACCCAGUUUGAAUAUGCGCUCCUUCUCCCAUUGGUCGGAAUGGACUUUCAAGCGGCCAGACCGACUCACAGCUCCAGAGAUUCCCUGCUGGCACGCGUUCCUCUCUCUGGUGUAUAUCCCCACACAGGUAUCCGUCGGAGAGAGUGUUCUCCUGGGUAGCUACAAGCCUAUCCUUGUAGCUGCCAGGUAGG
Non-coding RNA from Pelobates cultripes (western spadefoot toad), 233 nucleotides. The record is from the annotation of a GenBank genome assembly. NCBI's taxonomy places the organism in Eukaryota, Metazoa, Chordata, Amphibia, Anura, Pelobatidae.